This 468-nucleotide ribosomal RNA is filed under the name uncultured bacterium. RNAcentral describes it as "partial 16S ribosomal RNA". It matches the Rfam family "Bacterial small subunit ribosomal RNA", at positions 28 to 507 of the family's 1533-position model. The record is from RNAcentral.
GACGAACGCUGGCGGCGUGCUUAACACAUGCAAGUCGAACGGAAAGGCCCUGCUUUUGUGGGGUGCUCGAGUGGCGAACGGGUGAGUAACACGUGAGUAACCUGCCCUUGACUUUGGGAUAACUUCAGGAAACUGGGGCUAAUACCGGAUAGGAGCUCCUGCUGCAUGGUGGGGGUUGGAAAGUUUCGGCGGUUGGGGAUGGACUCGCGGCUUAUCCGCUUGUUGGUGGGGUAGUGGCUUACCAAGGCUUUGACGGGUAGCCGGCCUGAGAGGGUGACCGGCCACAUUGGGACUGAGAUAGGGCCCAGACUCCUACGGGAGGCAGAAGUGGGGAAUAUUGCACAAUGGGCGGAAGCCUGAGGCAGCAACGCCGCGUGCGGGAUGACGGCCUUCGGGUUGUAAACCGCUUUCGCCUGUGACGAAGCGUGAGUGACGGUAAUGGGUAAAGAAGCACCGGCUAACUACGUG